RNAcentral lists this ribosomal RNA (253 nucleotides) under uncultured bacterium. RNAcentral's name for it is "partial 16S ribosomal RNA". It matches the Rfam family "Bacterial small subunit ribosomal RNA", at positions 524 to 776 of the family's 1533-position model. The record is from RNAcentral.
UACGAAGGGGGCUAGCGUUGCUCGGAAUCACUGGGCGUAAAGCGCACGUAGGCGGACUUUUAAGUCAGGGGUGAAAUCCUGGAGCUCAACUCCAGAACUGCCUUUGAUACUGGAAGUCUUGAGUCCGGAAGAGGUAAGUGGAACUGCGAGUGUAGAGGUGAAAUUCGUAGAUAUUCGCAAGAACACCAGUGGCGAAGGCGGCUUACUGGUCCGGUACUGGCGCUGAGGUGCGAAAGCGUGGGGAGCAAACAGG